AGCACCGCCACCUCUAACGGAGGCAGAGGAGCUGGCCCUGAGCCAGAAUUUUGGAAGGCCAGCGACUGAGGGAAUCCCUGGAGGGAGCUCAUCCUCUGAGCCCACCCCCCAAGACACAAGUGCCUUUAUAACAUGUAAUAUUCCUAGACCUAUAUAUCUUUUUUUAAGCCUAUUCAUACAAAUAUUUAUUUCCCUUUCAUGUCUUUUUUUUUUUUCUCCCAACUUUUGCUGAUGGUGCUAUCUGCCUGGUGGAGCCCCCUCACGCCACAACAGACCUUGUAACUGAUGAAGAGUACGAGGAGACUUUGUCUGCUGCCUUCACAGAGGGGGAACCAGAAAGGCCUGUAGAGGGCAUGGCUGGGCAGCAGCAGGAGGGUCCCUCAACUUCAACUGCACAGAUUGACACAUUACCAGUUAAAGAUAUCUAUAAAAUAUUUCUUCUGAAAAAAAUUGAAAAAACCAACAAAGAAAUGCAGUUCUUGGACCGCCAGAUGAGAAGGGCAGAUCUCGAAAUUGAAUUAUUAGAGCACAAGUUAGAGGUGGGUGCAUGGUCACAGGUGAAUUAUGUUAAUUAUGUUAACUACAGGAACAUUAACUAAACUAUCUCUUGUAUUUGUAGGAAAUAAAGAAGACCAAAUGAAA
Notolabrus celidotus (New Zealand spotty) is the source of this 642-nucleotide long non-coding RNA. RefSeq lists it as uncharacterized. NCBI's taxonomy places the organism in Eukaryota, Metazoa, Chordata, Actinopteri, Labriformes, Labridae. The transcript has 4 exons. The record is from RefSeq and is a predicted model, not a curated record.